RNAcentral lists this ribosomal RNA (253 nucleotides) under uncultured bacterium. Its description in RNAcentral is "partial 16S ribosomal RNA". It matches the Rfam family "Bacterial small subunit ribosomal RNA", at positions 524 to 776 of the family's 1533-position model. The record is from RNAcentral.
UACGUAGGUGGCAAGCGUUGUCCGGAUUUACUGGGCGUAAAGAGCGCGCAGGCGGUCGUUCAAGUCGCGUGUGAAAGCCCCCGGCUCAACUGGGGAGGGUCACGCGAUACUGAUCGACUCGAAGGCAGGAGAGGGAAGUGGAAUUCCCGGUGUAGCGGUGAAAUGCGUAGAUAUCUGGAGGAAUACCGGUGGCGAAGGCGGCAUCCUGGACCGGCAUUGACGCUGAGGAGCGAAAGCCAGGGGAGCAAACGGG